GACACAUUUUAGCUUUCUACAAAAAGGGAAUAAAGGGGAAGCAGCUCUGGCUAGCCUUGGAAAAGCUAUUUAGCUUGCAUAUUGUGGAACUGUCUUCCCUAGCUAGUUAGUGCCAUUUUAUAACACUGCAGCAUAUUGGAUCAAAGACUAGAACUGCCACCUCCUGUUUACAGUGGGCUGGAGCAGUCACAGAAUUGUCAGGGCUACUUUCUGUCUCGGUGUGAUUGGAAAUAAGACUGAAAACGUGGGCUUUGACGUAUUAUGAGAUCAGAGAGCAAGAUGCAUGCUGCAUCAUGGGACCAAGGAUCUUAUGAGGAUAUUUGGUAUCUAUAAUGUACCAUCUGUACGUGAUUUAAGUCACUCUCAGAGGUGCAACCCUUUUGCUUACUUAUUCUGUGAGUUUUUAUUGAAAAGCUGACUUGUAUGUGCAAGCAGCAUUUUGUGGACUCAGUGAUGACUUAAGGACUAUUGCCUAGAGACUUCUAAGGGGCUUUUGUAGUCUGUACAGAUCCCCUUUUUCCAUCAAGGUCUUCUACAACCAACUAGAACUGCUUAUAUUUUUAGUUCCACAAGUUUCUACUUUAAUCAUGAUGGUGUCUGUGUAUCCAUCACCAUCAUGCAUACUUAGGUCUCACAAUGCUGUAUGUAAAAUAAAGAAGUAUGAACUA
Molecule: long non-coding RNA, 668 nt
Organism: Lonchura striata (white-rumped munia)
Lineage: Eukaryota; Metazoa; Chordata; Aves; Passeriformes; Estrildidae
Source: RefSeq, a predicted model, not a curated record